Molecule: ribosomal RNA, 252 nt
Filed under: uncultured bacterium
Lineage: Bacteria
Description: partial 16S ribosomal RNA
Rfam family: Bacterial small subunit ribosomal RNA
Source: RNAcentral
UACGGAGGAUGCGAGCGUUAUCCGGAUUUAUUGGGUUUAAAGGGUGCGUAGGCGGGAUGCCAAGUCAGCGGUAAAAAUGCGGUGCUCAACGCCGUCGAGCCGUUGAAACUGGCGUCCUUGAGUGGGCGAGAAGUAUGCGGAAUGCGUGGUGUAGCGGUGAAAUGCAUAGAUAUCACGCAGAACCCCGAUUGCGAAGGCAGCAUGCCGGCUUCCUACUGACGCUGAAGCACGAAAGCGUGGGGAUCGAACAGG